GACGUAGGGUGCAAGCGUUGUUCGGAAUUACUGGGCGUAAAGGGCUCGUAGGCGGCCAACUAAGUCGGAUGUGAAAUCCCCAGGCUUAACCUGGGAACUGCAUCCGAUACUGGAUGGCUUGAAUCCGGGAGAGGGAUGCGGAAUUCCAGGUGUAGCGGUGAAAUGCGUAGAUAUCUGGAGGAACACCGGUGGCGAAGGCGGCAUCCUGGACCGGCAUUGACGCUGAGGAGCGAAAGCCAGGGGAGCAAACGGG
Molecule: ribosomal RNA, 253 nt
Filed under: uncultured bacterium
Lineage: Bacteria
Description: partial 16S ribosomal RNA
Rfam family: Bacterial small subunit ribosomal RNA
Source: RNAcentral